Molecule: transfer RNA, 76 nt
Filed under: Quinella sp. 2Q5
Lineage: Bacteria; Bacillati; Bacillota; Negativicutes; Veillonellales; Veillonellaceae
Also listed under: 1 other name
Description: tRNA-Val
Rfam family: tRNA
About the family: Transfer RNA (tRNA) molecules are approximately 80 nucleotides in length. Their secondary structure includes four short double-helical elements and three loops (D, anti-codon, and T loops).
Source: RNAcentral
GGGCGAUUAGCUCAGCCGGAAGAGCAUCUGCUUUACACGCAGGGGGUCGGCAGUUCGAGCCUGUCAUCGCCCACCA